GGUGGCUCAAUGGUAGAGCACUUGCUUGCAUGCAUGAGGCCCUGGGUUCGAUACUCAGCACCA
Molecule: transfer RNA, 63 nt
Filed under: Dipodomys ordii (Ord's kangaroo rat)
Lineage: Eukaryota; Metazoa; Chordata; Mammalia; Rodentia; Heteromyidae
Rfam family: tRNA
About the family: Transfer RNA (tRNA) molecules are approximately 80 nucleotides in length. Their secondary structure includes four short double-helical elements and three loops (D, anti-codon, and T loops). Further hydrogen bonds mediate the characteristic L-shaped molecular structure. tRNAs have two regions of fundamental functional importance: the anti-codon, which is responsible for specific mRNA codon recognition, and the 3' end, to which the tRNAs corresponding amino acid is attached (by aminoacyl-tRNA synthetases). tRNAs cope with the degeneracy of the genetic code in two manners: having more than one tRNA (with a specific anti-codon) for a particular amino acid; and 'wobble' base-pairing, i.e. permitting non-standard base-pairing at the 3rd anti-codon position.
Source: Rfam by way of RNAcentral